RNAcentral lists this non-coding RNA (29 nucleotides) under Mus musculus (house mouse). Lineage: Eukaryota; Metazoa; Chordata; Mammalia; Rodentia; Muridae. The record is from RNAcentral.
UCCAGCAGGCAUGUGAUGAGACUGUUCAC